Molecule: long non-coding RNA, 222 nt
Filed under: Ananas comosus (pineapple)
Lineage: Eukaryota; Viridiplantae; Streptophyta; Magnoliopsida; Poales; Bromeliaceae
Description: long non-coding RNA (ACOM_LNC024655)
Source: RNAcentral
CCGUUAAGUCCCGUUUGUUGCCCCCCCUCUCUCUCUCUCUCUCUUUCUCUCUUCGUAUCUUCCCAUCUCUUCUCCCACCUCUCCCUAUCUCACCCUCUCUCUCUGCAUGCCCUAGUCCAGACUCCUAAACCUCGCUCCGUGGCGCUCGCCGCCUUUCUUCUCUGUGCACGCAACCCACCUCCCACGUCCCCCCGCUCUCUACAUCGCCCCUCUCUAUCAAAC